This is a long non-coding RNA of Arvicola amphibius (Eurasian water vole), 2193 nucleotides long. RefSeq lists it as uncharacterized. The record is from RefSeq and is a predicted model, not a curated record. The transcript is spliced from 3 exons. Lineage: Eukaryota; Metazoa; Chordata; Mammalia; Rodentia; Cricetidae.
UGUAUACAUAAUAAAUAAAUAAAUAUUUAAAAAAAAAAAAAGAGUUGGGACAGUUACUGUUCAUGCCAGGGUUAUUAGCUCUUGACUCACACUCUCUAAGUUUAGCCUGCUUUAGAUUAUACUCUAUUGCAUGUGCAUAUCAACAUGGCUCAUUUGAACCUUGAGAAAUGCUAAAGAUUAUCAUUAGUGGUGAAAUAUUUUAAGUAAAAAGCUUCCAAAAGGCAUGUUCUUGGUAAAGAUGUUGAAAAUAAAAACACUGAAAAGACUUGGUAUAAAAUUUAAAAGCCUUUGCUUACCAGAGCUUCUUUAUCAACUUUCUCUUUCUCAAAGACAGUGAGGAACUCAGAGAGUUGAAGUUUCUUCAGUUCUUCUUCUAACGUUGGUACAUCUCCUUGAUCCUCAACAGUUCUAAAUAAACCCUAAAAAUUAUAUCAUAUAGCUUGUUAUUCACAAAAUUCAUUUAGUUUUAUUAAUACUAUUUUAUAAUUUGAAAUGUAUUAUGUAAGAUAUUCACCAUAAUAAAUCUUAACAUUAACUACUUGGUUUUGUUUUUGAAACAAGAUCUCACGAGGUCCAAGAUGGUCUCAAACUUAUUAUCCUCUCCAGUAAAGGAUUAGAGGUGUACACCGCCAUCCUCAGCGUGGAUUUCAAUGUUAAAUGUGUAUAUACAUCUGUGUUUGUAUACGUAUAUAAAAUAUUAGUCGGACACUGGAAAUUGGAAUUAUUUCCCUAUGAGAAUGGCCUUUUACUCCUGAAAUUGCCAAAAACAUCACCAAGGAUUUACCAUGGGGUACCCGGGAGAUGAGGGGGCUCAAACAUCGACUGGGGGUUGCCAGGAGUUUGGAGUAGGUGGGGGAACCCCAGCUGUCCCUCCUCCUUCUAAUGCCACAGAAAAGGGUCCUCUGGUCAGCUCCCAUCCCUGUGCCCCAAUAUCCAGUUUUCCUCAGGAGGAGGUGGAUUAGGGACUUGGGAAAGGAAAGGGCCCAGGAUGGGAAAAGGUCACAUUUCCCAUGUAUUCACAGUACUGUUCUUCCAGGGAGCAGAAAUUGGGAAAGUUUGCUGAAUCAGACUUCCCUCUUGCCCUGGACUUGGAAAUCUGAAUGUUAACUAGAAAUGAUACUUUUCUUUUUUCCUUUUUUGAGACAGGUCUAAGUAGCCAUGAUCAUCCUGGAACUUGUUGUGCAGAUCAGACUGGCUCAAACUCACACAGACCUUCUGUCUCUGCCACCUGAGUGCUCAGAUUAAAGGCGUGUAAUACCACAGCAGAAGAGGGUGUGAAGUCCCAAGACCUGGAGUUACAGGCAGUUGUGAGCUACCUACCGUGUGCUCUUCUGCAGUGGGCAGCGGUUCAUUCAGAGAUUUACAACUGGCCAAAUGAAAGAAUCGGUGACUGUUGGGUGCUCAACCCUACACGGGACUUCUAUAGUAACCCCUCCAAAGCUCUGGGAACAAUGCAGAAGAGAAGGCAGAAGAUGAUGCGAGAGCUAAAGGCAAGGGAGAGAUGCUGGGAAGUGCUGUCUUCUGCACAUAUGGCUGCUGCACUCAUGAACUCACUGCAGUCAUGGUUACACAGGAAGUAAAAAUAAUAAAUCCGCACAAGGCCAAGUCAACCAGAUCAGUCAACAUUCCAUCAAGCAGCAGUAACUGGAUGUAGUGAGUUACACACAAAAGACAUGAAGGUGGGAGGAACCUGUUGGAGAUUAACAGGACAGUGGAAGGGAUGUAUUGCAAGUAAAUAUCAUCAAGAUACUCUGAAUACGUAUAUAAAAUAGUCAAAGAAUAGACAAAAGAUCUUUUUCAAAUGUGUGAUGACGAGAACAUAGCUCAGGAUGCUUCCCUAGUAGCAUGCACCAAGCACUGCAUGACUGACCAGGUGUGGUGUGCCUGCAAUCCUAGCACUGGAAGUUUGGGCAGGAGGAUCAGGAAUUCAAGAGUUUUUGAGCUAGUAUCUCAUGUAGACUAGACUGACCUUAAAGUUGCUAUGUGCUAAAGACGACUUUGAACUCUUGCUCUUCCUACUUCCACUUCCACCACGCUAGGAUUAUAGGCAUUUGCUACCUAACUAGGUCUCAGGAACAUUUAUUUGGUAAUUAAAUCUUUUUUGAGAAUUUUGUGUAUAAAUGUAGUAUAUUUUGUAGAACAUUUUGAAUGGUACUGAUUUAUUGAAUAAACUGUACAUAUUAAAAAAAUAUA